GACGAACGCUGGCGGCGUGCUUAACACAUGCAAGUCGAACGGAAAGGCCCUGCUUUUGUGGGGUGCUCGAGUGGCGAACGGGUGAGUAACACGUGAGUAACCUGCCCUUGACUUUGGGAUAACUUCAGGAAACUGGGGCUAAUACCGGAUAGGAGCUCCUGCUGCAUGGUGGGGGUUGGAAAGUUUCGGCGGUUGGGGAUGGACUGGCGGCUUAUCAGCUUGUUGGUGGGGUAGUGGCUUACCAAGGCUUUGACGGGUAGCCGGCCUGAGAGGGUGACGGGCCACAUUGGGACUGAGAUACGGCCCAGACUCCUACGGGAGGCAGCAGUGGGGAAUAUUGCACAAUGGGCGGAAGCCUGAUGCAGCAACGCCGCGUGCGGGAUGACGGCCUUCGGGUUGUAAACCGCUUUCGCCUGUGACGAAGCGUGAGUGACGGUAAUGGGUAAAGAAGCACCGGCUAACUACGUG
This 468-nucleotide ribosomal RNA is filed under the name uncultured bacterium. RNAcentral's name for it is "partial 16S ribosomal RNA". It matches the Rfam family "Bacterial small subunit ribosomal RNA", at positions 28 to 507 of the family's 1533-position model. The record is from RNAcentral.